This 460-nucleotide ribosomal RNA is filed under the name uncultured bacterium. Its description in RNAcentral is "partial 16S ribosomal RNA". It matches the Rfam family "Bacterial small subunit ribosomal RNA", at positions 28 to 507 of the family's 1533-position model. The record is from RNAcentral.
GACGAACGCUGGCGGCGUGCUUAACACAUGCAAGUCGAGCGGUAAGGCCUCUUCGUGGGUACACGAGCGUCGAACGGGUGAGUAACACGUUGGUGACCUGCCCUCAGCUCUGUGAUUAGCCUGUUUAACUGGGUCUAAUACCGGAUAUGACCUUUCCUCUCUUGGGGUUUGUUGGAUAGUUUUUUAGGCUUGGGAUGGGACCGCUGCCUAUCAGCUUGUUGGUGUGGUGUUGGCCUACCAAGGCGACGACGGGUAGCCGGCCUGCGAGGGCGACCGGCCACACUGGGACUGAGACACGGCACAGACUCCUACGGGAGGCAGCAGUGGGGAAGAUUGCGCAAUGGGCGGAAGCCUGACGCAGCGACGCCGCGUGGGGGAUGACGGCCUUCGGGUUGUAAAACUCUUUCGACCCCGACGAAUUUGGACGGUAGGGGUAGAAGAAGCACCGGCCAACUACGUG